RNAcentral lists this ribosomal RNA (497 nucleotides) under uncultured bacterium. Its description in RNAcentral is "partial 16S ribosomal RNA". It matches the Rfam family "Bacterial small subunit ribosomal RNA", at positions 28 to 507 of the family's 1533-position model. The record is from RNAcentral.
GAUGAACGCUGGCGGCGUGCCUAAUACAUGCAAGUCGAGCGAACGGACGAGAAGCUUGCUUCUCUGAUGUUAGCGGCGGACGGGUGAGUAACACGUGGAUAACCUACCUAUAAGACUGGGAUAACUUCGGGAAACCGGAGCUAAUACCGGAUAAUAUUUUGAACCGCAUGGUUCAAAAGUGAAAGACGGUCUUGCUGUCACUUAUAGAUGGAUCCGCGCUGCAUUAGCUAGUUGGUAAGGUAACGGCUUACCAAGGCAACGAUGCAUAGCCGACCUGAGAGGGUGAUCGGCCACACUGGAACUGAGACACGGUCCAGACUCCUACGGGAGGCAGCAGUAGGGAAUCUUCCGCAAUGGGCGAAAGCCUGACGGAGCAACGCCGCAUGAGUGAUGAAGGUCUUCGGAUCGUAAAACUCUGCUAUUAGGGAAGAACAUAUGUGUAAGUAACUGUGCACAUCUUGACGGUACCUAAUCAGAAAGCCACGGCUAACUACGUG